UGGAGACUUUUCGAGGCAUCCGGAGACCUGGAACUUGAGACUAAGCCAUCCAUUUAGUACCGCGUGGAGACCGGACCGGAUCUGAAAGUUCCCCAGUAAUCUGCGAAGCCACGACAGGUUGAGGGAUCGCUGUCGGUACCCUUUUCUUCUUUGCUUUAUUCUAACCAAGAAACACGAACCACUACUGUUGCGAUCAAUCCCCUCGUAGUCUGGUCAUCAAAAACGAGCAUCUGUAAAAGAAAAUCCAUACUGAUCGAAGGCGAUUCCGAUAGAGACCCUCCGACGGUCAAAUCAGAGAGGAGACUAGGCAACAGUGAAA
RNAcentral lists this long non-coding RNA (319 nucleotides) under Elaeis guineensis (African oil palm). Its description in RNAcentral is "long non-coding RNA (EGUI_LNC006719)". Lineage: Eukaryota; Viridiplantae; Streptophyta; Magnoliopsida; Arecales; Arecaceae. The record is from RNAcentral.